This 499-nucleotide ribosomal RNA is filed under the name uncultured bacterium. RNAcentral's name for it is "bacterial SSU rRNA". It matches the Rfam family "Bacterial small subunit ribosomal RNA", at positions 16 to 518 of the family's 1533-position model. The record is from RNAcentral.
AUCCUGGCUUAGGAUGAACGCUGGCGGCGUGCUUAACACAUGCAAGUCGAACGGAGUUUUAACGGAAGUUUCGGAUGGAAGUUAGAACUUAGUGGCGGACGGGUGAGUAACGCGUGGGUAACCUGCCUCAGUACAGGGGGAUAACAGUUAGAAAUGACUGCUAACACCGCAUAAUAUAGCGAAACCGCAUGAUUUUGCUAUCAAAUAUUUAUAGGUAUGAGAUGGGCCCGCGUCUGAUUAGCUAGUUGGUGGGGUAAAAGCCUACCAAGGCGACGAUCAGUAGCCGGCUUGAGAGAGUGACCGGCCACAUUGGGACUGAGACACGGCCCAAACUCCUACGGGAGGCAGCAGUGGGGAAUAUUGGACAAUGGGGGAAACCCUGAUCCAGCGAACCGCCGCGUGAGUGAAGAAGUAUUUCGGUAUGUAAAGCUCUAUCAGCAGGGAAGAUAAUGACAGUACCUGACUAAGAAGCCCCGGCUAACUACGUGCCAGCCGCAGC